Molecule: ribosomal RNA, 433 nt
Filed under: uncultured bacterium
Lineage: Bacteria
Description: partial 16S ribosomal RNA
Rfam family: Bacterial small subunit ribosomal RNA
Source: RNAcentral
AACGAACGCUGGCGGCAUGCCUAACACAUGCAAGUCGAACGAUGCCACCGGGCGUAGUGGCUCAUGGGUGUGGAACGUGUCGGAAGCGGCACGUGUGCUUGGAAUACCAGUGAGUAAUGGCUGCUAAUACCGGAAGACUUCUUCUGACCCAAGAUUUGACGUCCUGGUAUGAGCCCGCGUAGGACUAGCUUGUUGGUGGGGUAAUGGCCUAUCAAGGCGUCGAUCCUUAGCUGGGCUGAGAGGCUGGGCAGCCACACUGGGGCUGGGACACGGCCCAGACUCCUACGGGAGGCAGGAGUGGGUGAUAUUGCAAAACGGGGGCAAUCAUGAUGCAGCUAUGCCGCGUGAGCGAUGAAGGUGUUAGGGUUGUAAAGCACUUUUAUCCGGGACGAUACUGACGGUACCGAAAGAAUAAGCACCGGCUAACUUCGUG